Daktulosphaira vitifoliae (grape phylloxera) is the source of this 2467-nucleotide RNA transcript. It is a transcript of the gene named E3 ubiquitin-protein ligase ariadne-1, with no coding region annotated. The transcript is spliced from 13 exons. Lineage: Eukaryota; Metazoa; Arthropoda; Insecta; Hemiptera; Phylloxeridae. The record is from RefSeq and is a predicted model, not a curated record.
GCAAUUGUUACUUGCUAAGCAAAAUAAUAAAUGGGUACAUUAUAUAAUAAAAUUGUGUUAAAUAGUCAUUAAAGGCAGAAAAGUUUCAGAUUAUAAAAACUACUCACACAUUUUAAAUAUACAUAUACUAUGUAUAGCCUUACAAAUGUACAUAUACGUUUAUAUAUGUAUAAUAUGUUAAAACAUAUAGUCACAUAGAUAAAAUAGUAAAAUUUGUUUGAUAAAAGAAUCUCAGCACCCAUCUGAACAAGAUUGAAGUCAUCUCACCAAAAAGGCAUCCACAGAUCAAGACAGUAAAGAACAAAAUUAUAGUAAAAUUUAAAAAUUCAAUAGGUACAUACUCUAAUAUUUACAAAACUUAUCAAGCAGACCAUUGAUCAUUGGCCACAUCGUUAUGGAUUCAGAUGAAGAUGCAUUAAAUGACAUAGAUUCUGGCAAUGAGUCUAGUGGAGACGAUGUGGACUUUGCUAUGGAAGUAGAUGUACGGCAUGAACGAGAAAAAAAUCAAGAUGUUGAUGAUUUUCCAUUUGAAGUAUUAUCUACAGACAAUAUUGUUCAACAUAUGAUUGACUGUAUCAAAGAAGUCAAUACUGUGCUGCAAAUGCCAGCAACAACUACACGCAUCUUAUUAAAUCAUUUUAAAUGGGAUAAAGAAAAAUUAAUGGAGCGCUUUUAUGAUGGGGAUCAAGAUAAAUUAUUUUCUGAAGCUAGAGUAAUAAAUCCUUUUAAAAGAACCCAACCAAUUAUUCAGAGGGUAAAACCUUCAUCAACGCGAAGAGGUACUUCUGGCAUGGAAGAUUGUGCAAUAUGUUUUGCAAAACUACCAUCAAAUAUGAUGACUGGUUUAGAAUGUAAUCAUAGAUUCUGCACACAAUGUUGGACAGAAUAUUUAACUACAAAAAUUAUUGAAGAAGGUGUUGGUCAAACAAUUGCUUGUGCUGCAAGUGGUUGUGAUAUAUUAGUAGAUGAUGUUACUGUAAUGCGAUUAGUUAGAGAUCCAAAAGUCCGGAUGAAAUACCAACAUUUAAUUACUAAUAGUUUUGUCGAAUGUAACCGAUUGCUACGUUGGUGUCCAUCACCCGAUUGCAACAAUGUCAUUAAAGCACAGUAUAUUGACUCAAAGCCAGUAAUUUGUAGAUGUCUACAUGUUUUUUGUUUUGUGUGUGGAGAAAAUUGGCAUGAUCCAGUUAAAUGUAAUUUAUUACGAAAAUGGAUUAAAAAAUGUGAUGAUGAUUCUGAAACUUCUAAUUGGAUAGCCGCUAAUACUAAAGAAUGUCCCAAGUGUAAUGUUACUAUAGAAAAAGAUGGUGGAUGUAAUCAUAUGGUUUGCAAAAAUCAAAAUUGCAAAACUGAUUUUUGUUGGGUAUGCCUUGGCCCAUGGGAACCUCAUGGAUCAUCAUGGUAUAAUUGCAAUCGUUAUGAUGAGGAAGAAGCUAAAGCUGCUAGAGAUGCCCAAGAAAGAUCUAGAGCUGCAUUACAAAGGUAUUUAUUUUAUUGUAAUCGCUACAUGAAUCAUAUGCAAUCACUGAAAUUUGAACACAAGUUAUAUGCCAGUGUUAAAGAAAAAAUGGAAGAAAUGCAACAACAUAAUAUGUCUUGGAUUGAGGUACAAUUCUUAAAAAAAGCUGUAGAUAUUCUAUGCCAAUGUAGGCAAACACUUAUGUACACUUAUGUAUUUGCCUAUUAUCUGAAAAAAAAUAACCAAUCCGUUCUCUUUGAAGAUAACCAACGAGAUUUAGAAAGUGCUACUGAAACACUUUCAGAAUAUUUAGAAAGAGAUAUUACAUCUGAGAAUCUAGCUGAUAUCAAACAGAAAGUUCAAGAUAAAUAUCGUUACUGUGAAAGUCGAAGAAAAGUAUUGCUAGAACAUGUUCAUGAAGGAUAUGAGAAAGAUUGGUGGGAUUACACAGAAAAAUUGUGAACUAGUCACAUAUAUCUGUGAUAUAUAUUAAUGAAACUAUAUGAUAAAAAUGUUCUAUAAAAGGAAAAUAAUGACAUUUCAUAAAAUAAAUUGCAAAUCUAUUAUAAAUUUUACAAAACAAUGACAUUUUAUUUGGAAUUAAUAUGAUAAGUUAUAUUUAUGAAGAGUGAUAUAUUAUAGGAAAUUGCAAAUUCAGUAGUAUCAGGAAUACAAAAUAUAUAUUUUAUUGAGAUAUAGUUAGAAUGAAUGUAUAACCAACAGCUGCAUUAUUUUAUUUAAGAGGAAAAGGUUUGUGUGUGAUUAGUCCAAUGAUGGACGGGAUAAGUGUUAUGGUUGGCUUGCACUAGAGACCAGAUACCAUUGAUGAGAAAAUUACAAGAAAAAUCUUAUUGGCACCCCGAGGUUCAAACCUGGGGCCUUGUGAGCCAAAAUAUAUACGUUUCAACUCACUAGGACAGGCUGACACUUAAGUGCAAUUACAUUUUUUGUAUAUACAUAUUUUUUAAUAUAUUCAAACUGUAAAUUUUGUCAAUAAUUGGUAAAUUA